UCGGGAAUUUUGGGCAAUGGGGGAAACCCUGACCCAGCAACGCCGCGUGAAGGAUGAAGUAUUUCGGUAUGUAAACUUCGAAAGAAUAGGAAGAAUAAAUGACGGUACUAUUUUAUAAGGUCCGGCUAACUACGUGCCAGCAGCCGCGGUAAUACGUAGGGACCAAGCGUUGUUCGGAUUUACUGGGCGUAAAGGGCGCGUAGGCGGCAUGACAAGUCACUUGUGAAAUCUCUGGGCUUAACCCAGAACGGCCAAGUGAUACUGUCGCGCUAGAGUGCAGAAGGGGCAAUCGGAAUUCUUGGUGUAGCGGUGAAAUGCGUAGAUAUCAAGAGGAACACCUGAGGUGAAGACGGGUUGCUGGGCUGACACUGACGCUGAGGCGCGAAAGCCAGGGGAGCAAACGGGAUUAGAUACCCAAGUAGUCCCUGAGCGGGCUGGCAAGGCGCAU
RNAcentral lists this ribosomal RNA (448 nucleotides) under uncultured bacterium. RNAcentral describes it as "bacterial SSU rRNA". It matches the Rfam family "Bacterial small subunit ribosomal RNA", at positions 355 to 825 of the family's 1533-position model. The record is from RNAcentral.